CCUACGGGAGGCAGCAGUGGGGAAUUUUGGACAAUGGGCGCAAGCCUGAUCCAGCAAUGCCGCGUGAGUGAAGAAGGCCUUCGGGUUGUAAAGCUCUUUUGUCAGGGAAGAAACGGUCUACUCUAAUACAGUGGGCUAAUGACGGUACCUGAAGAAUAAGCACCGGCUAACUACGUGCCAGCAGCCGCGGUAAUACGUAGGGUGCAAGCGUUAAUCGGAAUUACUGGGCGUAAAGCGUGCGCAGGCGGUUAUAUAAGUCAGAUGUGAAAUCCCCGGGCUCAACCUGGGAACUGCAUUUGAGACUGUAUGGCUAGAGUGUGUCAGAGGGGGGUAGAAUUCCACGUGUAGCAGUGAAAUGCGUAGAUAUGUGGAGGAAUACCGAUGGCGAAGGCAGCCCCCUGGGAUAACACUGACGCUCAUGCACGAAAGCGUGGGGAGCAAACAGGAUUAGAUACCCUGGUAGUCCACGCCCUAAACGAUGUCUACUAGUUGUCGGGACUUAAUUGUCUUGGUAACGCAGCUAACGCGUGAAGUAGACCGCCUGGGGAGUACGGUCGCAAGAUUAAAACUUAAAGGAAUUGACGG
Molecule: ribosomal RNA, 585 nt
Filed under: uncultured bacterium
Lineage: Bacteria
Description: bacterial SSU rRNA
Rfam family: Bacterial small subunit ribosomal RNA
Source: RNAcentral